GUCACGUAUGAGUCACUUCCGGUUUUACGGAGACGCCCGAGAUUGGUUCUACUAGCAGCGUUUUUCACUUCUAAAGCCUAGACUUCUUCCAGCCGGCACUGUCACGUGACUCUGUUCGACCAAUCAGAGAAUGCAGUUUUGGAGGUGAGACAGAAAGUGUGUGCAGGCACCUUUGUAGCAGAGAUUGUCUCUGCAGCCUCCAGCGUAACUGGCUGGACAUGCGGAACAAGGAGCGCCAUAUUUGUAGGGCGCAUGACCCCACCAGUUUCCACUGAAAGGAAAAAAAGGGAAAAGCAAGAAGGCCCACUGGUUGAGAGGAGGCUCUGGAAAUUAGAGAGCACAGGGAAACACAGAAGACCUCCCACAAACACGCUCCACGAUUGGAUGACGUGCAGCACAAGCCGCAGCCACUUUUGCAUCCAUAAUCCUGCACGGCCCAAGGAUCACGUGGCAGCAUCAACACCAGGCAUUGGCCCGCUCGCUCCCCUGACCUGAAUCCUUUAGAGUACCAGUCGGAUGAGCUUUGGAGACACGUACUGGAGGCGGCAUGGCCAGGACAUGCACAGAGCUGCUUCAGGCAUGGAGGAAUGGGAAAAAACUGCAGCUGAUGGGGAUACGAUCUGCCCUAGGGAAGGCAUUCAUAUGGCCCCGUUCCUGGGUGAAUCUCGCGUGAGAGGACGAGGGGAGGUUCAUCAUCUUGCAAUGCAGUCCGCUGAAAAUGAUGGAAAGCCCCACACUACACAGCAACCGGUGACGUGGUCAAGGUUGGAAUUUCCACAAAACACAUUUUAAGGUCUAAGAUGAGGUGCUUGUCCCCCUCACUGAUGGCUCUCUUUCCUCUGGUCCUGGCCGUCCACCACUGCUCAUCCUUGUCCCGGUACUGGUCCAGAAGGGACUCCAGGUGUGUGGAGUUGCUGAGGACAGUUUGGAGCCAACACAAGCACAAACUUGCUGCUCCAAACCAGCGUGGAGGAGGCUUCAUGUUGUGAGUAGGAGAAUAUUCUUGCUGGUCUGUGAAGAGAAAAGACACAUUCUGUAUGAUGACAUCAAUAUUUUUUCACUAAUCUUAUUUUUCAUUUCACAAUUGUUUUUUUGUAUUGGUCGUAUUGUAGCGUGUUGGGAAAUAUUGUUACAUUGUUGAUAUUGUCCUACCUCGGCUUUACCUCACAUUUUUUGGAACUUAGCUAAUUGUUCUGCUUUAGGUCAAAGGUCAUCAACAAGGGGUUAACAACCUCUAGAGGUCCCC
This is a long non-coding RNA of Entelurus aequoreus (snake pipefish), 1246 nucleotides long. RefSeq lists it as uncharacterized. The record is from RefSeq and is a predicted model, not a curated record. Lineage: Eukaryota; Metazoa; Chordata; Actinopteri; Syngnathiformes; Syngnathidae. The transcript is spliced from 8 exons.